RNAcentral lists this ribosomal RNA (253 nucleotides) under uncultured bacterium. RNAcentral's name for it is "partial 16S ribosomal RNA". It matches the Rfam family "Bacterial small subunit ribosomal RNA", at positions 524 to 776 of the family's 1533-position model. The record is from RNAcentral.
GACGAACCGUACGAACGUUAUUCGGAAUUACUGGGCUUAAAGAGUUCGUAGGCGGCUUGGAAAGUGGGGUGUGAAAGCCCUCGGCUCAACCGAGGAAUUGCGCUCCAAACUACCGAGCUUGAGUAGGCUAGAGGUGAGCAGAACUGAUGGUGGAGCGGUGAAAUGCGUUGAUAUCAUCAGGAAUACCGGAGGCGAAGGCGGCUCACUGGGACCUAACUGACGCUGAGGAACGAAAGCUAGGGGAGCAAACGGG